Molecule: ribosomal RNA, 484 nt
Filed under: uncultured bacterium
Lineage: Bacteria
Description: partial 16S ribosomal RNA
Rfam family: Bacterial small subunit ribosomal RNA
Source: RNAcentral
AUUGAACGCUGGCGGCAGGCCUAACACAUGCAAGUCGAGCGGAUGAAGGGAGCUUGCUCCUGGAUUCAGCGGCGGACGGGUGAGUAAUGCCUAGGAAUCUGCCUGGUAGUGGGGGAUAACGUCCGGAAACGGGCGCUAAUACCGCAUACGUCCUGAGGGAGAAAGUGGGGGAUCUUCGGACCUCACGCUAUCAGAUGAGCCUAGGUCGGAUUAGCUAGUUGGUGGGGUAAAGGCCUACCAAGGCGACGAUCCGUAACUGGUCUGAGAGGAUGAUCAGUCACACUGGAACUGAGACACGGUCCAGACUCCUACGGGAGGCAGCAGUGGGGAAUAUUGGACAAAGGGCGAAAGCCUGAUCCAGCCAUGCCGCGUGUGUGAAGAAGGUCUUCGGAUUGUAAAGCACUUUAAGUUGGGAGGAAGGGCAGUAAGUUAAUACCUUGCUGUUUUGACGUUACCAACAGAAUAAGCACCGGCUAACUUCGUA